RNAcentral lists this ribosomal RNA (567 nucleotides) under Schistura sp. 'parshadi'. RNAcentral's name for it is "partial 16S ribosomal RNA". It matches the Rfam family "Bacterial large subunit ribosomal RNA", at positions 1854 to 2619 of the family's 2925-position model. Lineage: Eukaryota; Metazoa; Chordata; Actinopteri; Cypriniformes; Nemacheilidae. The record is from RNAcentral.
CCAGCCUGCCCAGUGACUACAAGUUCAACGGCCGCGGUAUUUUGACCGUGCAAAGGUAGCGCAAUCACUUGUCUUUUAAAUGAAGACCUGUAUGAAUGGCCAAACGAGGGCUUAGCUGUCUCCCCCAUCAAGUCAGUGAAAUUGAUCUAUCCGUGCAGAAGCGGGUAUUUAUAUACAAGACGAGAAGACCCUUUGGAGCUUAAGGUACAAACCCACCUACGUUAAACAGCUUUCUAAACAAGCAUUAACCUAAUAGAACAUGGAGUUUUACCUUCGGUUGGGGCGACCACGGAGAACAAAAAAUCCUCCAAGUGGACUGGGAACUUCCCUAAAACCAAGAAAGACAUUUCCAAGUCACAGAAAAUCUGACCAAACAUGAUCCGGCCACCCAGGCCGAUCAACGGACCAAGUUACCCUAGGGAUAACAGCGCAAUCCCCUCCAAGAGUCCAUAUCGACGAGAGGGUUUACGACCUCGAUGUUGGAUCAGGACAUCCUAAUGGUGCAGCCGCUAUUAAGGGUUCGUUUGUUCAACGAUUAAAGUCCUACGUGAUCUGAGUUCAGACCGG